GAUAUGUGAAUACAUAGCAUAUCAGAAGGCACACCCGGAGAACUGAAACAUCUUAGUACCCGGAGGAAGAGAAAGAAAAUUCGAUUCCCUUAGUAGCGGCGAGCGAAACGGGAAGAGCCCAAACCAACAAGCUUGCUUGUUGGGGUUGUAGGACACUCUAUACGGAGUUACAAAGGACGACAUUAGACGAAUCAUCUGGAAAGAUGAAUCAAAGAAGGUAAUAAUCCUGUAGUCGAAAAUGUUGUCUCUCUUGAGUGGAUCCUGAGUACGACGGAGCACGUGAAAUUCCGUCGGAAUCUGGGAGGACCAUCUCCUAAGGCUAAAUACUCUCUAGUGACCGAUAGUGAACCAGUACCGUGAGGGAAAGGUGAAAAGCACCCCGGAAGGGGAGUGAAAUAGAACCUGAAACCGUGUGCUUACAA
This 422-nucleotide ribosomal RNA is filed under the name Staphylococcus aureus. RNAcentral describes it as "partial 23S ribosomal RNA". It matches the Rfam family "Bacterial large subunit ribosomal RNA", at positions 153 to 569 of the family's 2925-position model. Lineage: Bacteria; Bacillati; Bacillota; Bacilli; Caryophanales; Staphylococcaceae. The record is from RNAcentral.